Podarcis lilfordi (Lilford's wall lizard) is the source of this 2215-nucleotide non-coding RNA. Lineage: Eukaryota; Metazoa; Chordata; Lepidosauria; Squamata; Lacertidae. The record is from the annotation of a GenBank genome assembly.
CUGAACCUAGUCUGGGGCCAGAUUCUGAAGAGCCCCAGUCUGCACAGGUUCCCCUGCAACAAGCACCAGCUGGGCCGACUCAGGGGCCUGAGCCUGCCCUGGCUCUAGAUGUGGAAAUGACCUCGUUGCCUCCAGCUGGGCCAUCACUUACAGCUGCUCCACUACCGGUUGGAUCAGGGGAGGCUGAGAUGGCCCCUGGCUCUAGUCACCCACCGACGUCUCCCGAGCUGCAGAGACUGAGGUCUGAGAGGAGGAGAGACCUGAGUACUUGCAGGAGGAGUGCUCGCCUUCGGGCGAGACAGGGAGGUGAGUCACUGGGGGAUCAGGACUAGCCACUACCCCGACAAAGAUAAAAGGCUGUCGGACCCCACCCCAGAUUGUGGGAGCAACAUUGCUGUAUGCCAGAUCCUGCCUGAGAUCCUGUACCUGUCCUUGCCUGGUUUCCUGCCUCGUGUCCUGCCUUGGCCCCAUCAGGCUGACUCCUAGCAGAACCUUUGGAUUUAGGACCGGACCUGGACCGCGUUGCUCAGGUUAACCCCCGGGCCCAGCACACUUGUCCUCUGGAGCGAUAGGACCCAUGAACAUUCAGUGAAGCUGAAUGUUGGAAGAUUUAGGAUAGCUAAAAGAAAGCUCCGCCAUACUUGCUCCCACUUUAAAAGAGGAUUGGACAAGUUCCUGGAGGAGGAGAGGGCUAUCAAAGGUUGCUAGCUAGGAUAGCUCUGCUUGCCCUCCACAGUUCAGCAGCAGUGCUUCUGAAUACCAGUUGCUCAGAUCCUAUGGUGGGUUUCUCCAAUUGGCCACUGUAAGAACAGAAUGCUGGACCAGAUGGGCCAUGGGUCUGAUCCACUAGGCUCUACUUACAUCGUUAGGCUUGUGCGUUGUGUUGAGACCAAGUGAGCAUGAUCUUUUGUGUUGCCGAACAAAGUCAGAUUGUGUUACCGAUCAGAGAAUGAGUCUUCCUUCAUCAGUCCCUAGACCAGUCUGGUUUUGCCUGUGAGUUUUUGGACUGUGGCUUUUUCAGCCCAGGGCUUGCAAGUUCUGCCCCUUCCAGAUGUCUCCAGGGCCAAGUAGUAAUCCAACCUCCGCAGGCACCUGUGCCAUGAGACUUCCCGGCAUCAUCCUGAAGUGCUCUGCCUUGUUUUCUUGUUAACAAAUUACACGGUCAUCAGAGAGCUUUGGAAAUAAGUCUCUGAAGCUUACAUACCACUGGACAGUAAUUGAGUUCAUCUCCUGGUGUGGCAGCUCGUUUUAAUUAGGCUUUAGAAGAUUGAAAAAAGACUGAAUAUAUUAUGGCUGAACUUAUAUUAUUAAGCGGCAGAUUAACAUUGGCGUUCAUAAUACGAAGGCUUUUAUGUGGUAGAUGCAAAUAUCUCUUCCUCUCUAAUAGAGUGGUCCACUUAUUCCAGCUCUCUUUAAUCCGAAGAGCCUUUUAAAACUCCCUAACACCAAACCGCCUUUCCUUUGCAACCUCAGUUACCUCUGCUCCGGCUAGUUGCAUUUUCUGUUGACUUCCCCUGCUUAACGUUUUUUCUCUUGGGAAGACGGGGACUUUUCGAUUGCCCCUCUUCAUACAUUCGUCCAACUUGUGGAGCAGGGCACAGACAAAAAUAUUGUGUCAUAGAACUGUAGAUGUGAUGGCCUGGGAAUUGGAUUCAGAGGCUGAACCUGAGGAAUCCCAGCCUGCACAGGAGUCCCCGCCUCCAGGACCAGCUGAGCCAGGGCUGGGGCUUGAACCUGAAGAGCCCUCACCUGUGCUGGGUCCUCAGGUGCAGGCACCAGCUGAAUCUGCUCUGGCUCCGCAGGUGAUGGAGGACCCAUUGCCUGCAGGUGCUCCACUCUCAGCCCCGUCAGAGGAAGCUGAGGUUGCCUCUGGGUCCGUUAACCCUCCAGCCUCUCCUGAGCUGCAGAGGCUCAGGGCAGAGAGGCGGAGGGAACUAAGUUCCCGCAGGAGGAGUGCUCGCCUCCAGGCCAGGAGAGGUGAGUCACCUGUGGACUGGGGCCGCCCUAUGCCUCGGGGCAGAUAAAAGUCAGCCAGCCCAGUCCCAGGUUGCGGGAGCAAUGUUGUUGGUAACCUGUUCCUGCCUGCACCCUGUCCUGCUCUUCUGCCAGAGUUCCUGACCCACCCGACUCCUUGCCUUGGACCCCCCUUCAGCCUUGACGGACAGCCUCCAUACCACACCCUUGACCUCGGACUGGACUCGGACCAUGCCUCACG